AGGGAUCAUUACUGAGUUACCGCUCUAUAUACCCUUUGUGAACAUACCUAACCGUUGCUUCGGCGGGCAGGGGAAGCCUCUCGCGGGCCUCCCCUCCCGGCGCCGGCCCCCACCACGGGGACGGGGCGCCCGCCGGAGGAAACCAAACUCUAUUUACACGACGUCUCUUCUGAGUGGCACAAGCAAAUAAUUAAAACUUUUAACAACGGAUCUCUUGGUUCUGGCAUCGAUGAAGAACGCAGCGAAAUGCGAUAAGUAAUGUGAAUUGCAGAAUUCAGUGAAUCAUCGAAUCUUUGAACGCACAUUGCGCUCGCCAGCAUUCUGGCGAGCAUGCCUGUUCGAGCGUCAUUUCAACCCUCAAGCACCGCUUGGUUUUGGGGCCCCACGGCACACGUGGGCCCUUAAAGGUAGUGGCGGACCCUCCCGGAGCCUCCUUUGCGUAGUAACUAACGUCUCGCACUGGGAUCCGGAGGGACUCUUGCCGUAAAACCCCCAAAUUUUUUACAGGUUGACCUCGGAUCAGGUAGGAAUACCCGCUGAACUUAA
RNAcentral lists this ribosomal RNA (546 nucleotides) under Colletotrichum acutatum. RNAcentral describes it as "eukaryotic LSU rRNA". The stretch from base 195 to 348 matches the Rfam family "5.8S ribosomal RNA". Lineage: Eukaryota; Fungi; Ascomycota; Sordariomycetes; Glomerellales; Glomerellaceae. The record is from RNAcentral.